UACAGAGGGGGCAAGCGUUGUUCGGAAUUACUGGGCGUAAAGGGCGCGUAGGCGGCCUGUUAAGUCAGACGUGAAAUCCCCGGGCUCAACCCGGGAACUGCGUCCGAUACUGGAAGGCUUGAAUCCGGGAGAGGGAUGCGGAAUUCCAGGUGUAGCGGUGAAAUGCGUAGAUAUCUGGAGGAACACCGGUGGCGAAGGCGGCAUCCUGGACCGGCAUUGACGCUGAGGCGCGAAAGCCAGGGGAGCAAACGGG
RNAcentral lists this ribosomal RNA (253 nucleotides) under uncultured bacterium. Its description in RNAcentral is "partial 16S ribosomal RNA". It matches the Rfam family "Bacterial small subunit ribosomal RNA", at positions 524 to 776 of the family's 1533-position model. The record is from RNAcentral.